Molecule: non-coding RNA, 165 nt
Organism: Pelobates cultripes (western spadefoot toad)
Lineage: Eukaryota; Metazoa; Chordata; Amphibia; Anura; Pelobatidae
Source: the annotation of a GenBank genome assembly
GGUCAGCAGACACAUUCCAGCCAAUCAGCAGCAGACCCUCCCUCCCAGACCCUCUCACCUUCUGGACAGGAUCCAUGGUGAAGUUGCAUUCUUAGUGAGCUGUCCAGGAGGUGGGAGGGUCUGGGAGGGAGGGUCUGCUGCUGAUUGGCUGGAAUGUGUCUGCUG